This 518-nucleotide ribosomal RNA is filed under the name uncultured Ambispora. RNAcentral describes it as "SSU rRNA". It matches the Rfam family "Eukaryotic small subunit ribosomal RNA", at positions 569 to 1089 of the family's 1831-position model. The record is from RNAcentral. Lineage: Eukaryota; Fungi; Glomeromycota; Glomeromycetes; Archaeosporales; Ambisporaceae.
AGCAGCCGCGGUAAUUCCAGCUCCAAUAGCGUAUAUUAAAGUUGUUGCAGUUAAAAAGCUCGUAGUUGAAUUUUGGGUCUGGCCGGGCGGUCCGCCCUCUGGGUGAGCACUGUUCCGACGCCGGGCCUAUCCUUCUGGUGAGUCGGCAUGUCCUUUGUUGGGUGUGUCGGGGAACCAGGACCAUUACCUUGAAAAAUUAGAGUGUUCAAAGCAGGCGUAUGCUCGGAUACAUUAGCAUGGAAUAAUGAAAUAGGACGCGUGGUGCUAUUUUGUUGGUUUCUAGAACCGCCGUAAUGAUUAAUAGGGAUAGUUGGGGGCAUUAGUAUUCAAUUGUCAGAGGUGAAAUUCUUGGAUUUAUUGAAGACUAACUUCUGCGAAAGCAUUUGCCAAGGAUGUUUUCAUUAAUCAAGAACGAAAGUUAGGGGAUCGAAGACGAUCAGAUACCGUCGUAGUCCUAACCAUAAACUAUGCCGACUAGGAAUCGGGCGAUGUUAUUCUCAUGACUCGCCCGGCGCCUU